Long non-coding RNA from Hemibagrus wyckioides, 693 nucleotides. RefSeq lists it as uncharacterized. NCBI's taxonomy places the organism in Eukaryota, Metazoa, Chordata, Actinopteri, Siluriformes, Bagridae. The record is from RefSeq and is a predicted model, not a curated record. The transcript has 3 exons.
UAGACCUACAGGGGAAUGACAAAUAAUCACCAAGUGCACCCAUGCUGCAAUUUCUUUUGUAAUUUCCAUCCCACCGGCUCUGUUGCAUCUGUGAUCAUCUGUGACAAUCACUGUCACAGUGAUUGUCAAAGGAGAGAGUAAUGUCAGAGAGAUUAUCAAUGAUGAUCAUGAGCUCCUGCUUAUAGGGCAAACGCUAUUAUCUUCUCUUGUGCCACUUAAAACAUUUUUGCCAUGUGACUGUAUCAUCACAAGUAUCAGCAGUGCAGCAAUGGUACAAAGAAAGGCAUGCAUCACGACUCUUCUCUUUUCAGUGACAACUGAUUUAAAGGGAGUUGCUGGCAAAGCAGAUGCAAAAUGCAGAUGAAGAACAACCCUGCAUGAACAGCUGAAAUGCCACCAUCAGCUUAUUAGAGGGCCGAGGACCAAAGCAGGAAGCGCAGCAACAGAAGUCACUCAAACCUCAGCAUAUCAGUCCGGCGAUGUGUGGUCAGUCAGGCACCAGAUCAAUACAGAGUUCAGAUUGCUGCCUUGGACACUCACCUUGAGACUUCAGCAGCAUUCAAUCUGCCCCUGCAACUGUGUCCGCAUUGGGCCACAACAGUGUGUCAUCCCUCAUGGUUUCCACCAACCUGUAAAGCAGCAAAAUACAAUAACGUAAAGAUUGCAACCAAAUACACUUAAACACUGAACCUA